RNAcentral lists this ribosomal RNA (474 nucleotides) under uncultured organism. RNAcentral's name for it is "partial 16S ribosomal RNA". It matches the Rfam family "Bacterial small subunit ribosomal RNA", at positions 333 to 798 of the family's 1533-position model. The record is from RNAcentral.
ACACUCCUACGGGAGGCAGCAGUGGGGAAUUUUGGACAAUGGGCGAAAGCCUGAUCCAGCAAUGCCGCGUGAGUGAAGAAGGCCUUCGGGUUGUAAAGCUCUUUUGUCAGGGAAGAAACGGUGAAAGCUAAUAUCUUUUGCUAAUGACGGUACCUGAAGAAUAAGCACCGGCUAACUACGUGCCAGCAGCCGCGGUAAUACGUAGGGUGCAAGCGUUAAUCGGAAUUACUGGGCGUAAAGCGUGCGCAGGCGGUUUUGAAAGUCUGAUGUGAAAUCCCCGGGCUCAACCUGGGAAUUGCAUUGGAGACUGCAAGGCUAGAAUCUGGCAGAGGGGGGUAGAAUUCCACGUGUAGCAGUGAAAUGCGUAGAUAUGUGGAGGAACACCGAUAGCGAAGGCAGCCCCCUGGGUCAAGAUUGACGCUCAUGCACGAAAGCGUGGGGAGCAAACAGGAUUAGAAACCCCUGUAGUCCCAU